This 429-nucleotide ribosomal RNA is filed under the name uncultured Polaromonas sp. RNAcentral describes it as "bacterial SSU rRNA". It matches the Rfam family "Bacterial small subunit ribosomal RNA", at positions 355 to 776 of the family's 1533-position model. Lineage: Bacteria; Pseudomonadati; Pseudomonadota; Betaproteobacteria; Burkholderiales; Comamonadaceae. The record is from RNAcentral.
UGGGGAAUUUUGGACAAUGGGCGAAAGCCUGAUCCAGCAAUGCCGCGUGCAGGAAGAAGGCCUUCGGGUUGUAAACUGCUUUUGUACGGAACGAAAAGGUCUGCCCUAAUACGGUGGGCUCAUGACGGUACCGUAAGAAUAAGCACCGGCUAACUACGUGCCAGCAGCCGCGGUAAUACGUAGGGUGCGAGCGUUAAUCGGAAUUACUGGGCGUAAAGCGUGCGCAGGCGGUUAUAUAAGACAGUUGUGAAAUCCCCGGGCUCAACCUGGGAAUUGCAUCUGUGACUGUAUAGCUAGAGUACGGUAGAGGGGGAUGGAAUUCCGCGUGUAGCAGUGAAAUGCGUAGAUAUGCGGAGGAACACCGAUGGCGAAGGCAAUCCCCUGGACCUGUACUGACGCUCAUGCACGAAAGCGUGGGGAGCAAACAGG